Molecule: ribosomal RNA, 455 nt
Filed under: Paenibacillus illinoisensis
Lineage: Bacteria; Bacillati; Bacillota; Bacilli; Caryophanales; Paenibacillaceae
Description: bacterial SSU rRNA
Source: RNAcentral
GCAGUAGGGAAUCUUCCGCAAUGGGCGAAAGCCUGACGGAGCAAUGCCGCGUGAGUGAUGAAGGUUUUCGGAUCGUAAAGCUCUGUUGCCAGGGAAGAACGUCCUUGAGAGUAACUGCUCAAGGAGUGACGGUACCUGAGAAGAAAGCCCCGGCUAACUACGUGCCAGCAGCCGCGGUAAUACGUAGGGGGCAAGCGUUGUCCGGAAUUAUUGGGCGUAAAGCGCGCGCAGGCGGUCAUUUAAGUCUGGUGUUUAAUCCCGGGGCUCAACCCCGGAUCGCACUGGAAACUGGAUGACUUGAGUGCAGAAGAGGAGAGUGGAAUUCCACGUGUAGCGGUGAAAUGCGUAGAGAUGUGGAGGAACACCAGUGGCGAAGGCGACUCUCUGGGCUGUAACUGACGCUGAGGCGCGAAAGCGUGGGGAGCAAACAGGAUUAGAUACCGCYGGGUAAGUCA